AACGCACAUUGCGCUUCCUGGUAUUCCGGGGAGCAUGCCCGUUUCAGCACCAGCAAAAACCCUCAAAGCGAACGGGGGGAUUUCCUUUUCGGAAGCCCCCUCUUUGUUUUGGUUUUGGUUCGUCUUUUUGUUUGAAAAAGCGGAAAAGACGAGGCCUUGAAUUCAUCGAGUGUGCCGUCCUUGAUGUGACCCAAAAAGUGCAACAGAAAUGUUAAAUCUCGCUUUCGGGAAUCAUCUGCAAAAUGGAUGGUGCGUUCCCCCCAUUUUCUUGACAAAUUGGUUCGUCUCGAAACAAUUUUCAAAAACACUUGGUCUGAAAUCGGGCAAGAAAACCCGCUGAACUUAA
Molecule: unclassified non-coding RNA, 346 nt
Filed under: uncultured Spizellomycetales
Lineage: Eukaryota; Fungi; Chytridiomycota; Chytridiomycetes; Spizellomycetales
Description: sequence contains 5.8S rRNA gene, ITS2, 28S rRNA gene
Source: RNAcentral